This 254-nucleotide unclassified non-coding RNA is filed under the name Hevea brasiliensis (rubber tree). The record is from RNAcentral. Lineage: Eukaryota; Viridiplantae; Streptophyta; Magnoliopsida; Malpighiales; Euphorbiaceae.
UCCACGACGUCGCAAAAGUCGUUCUCCAAUUCCAAGACAUCGUAAAAGUCAUUCUCCAACUCCAAGGCGUCAUAAGUGGCAAAGAAGUAGGAGUUCCUCAUUGUCUCCUACUCGUAAAUCUUCUAGUCCAAGUCUUGCGUCAUAUGUCAGUGAGUGAGCAUUUUCUAGACUAACUUGAUUUCAUUUAUUCUCAGGCGUCAACAGGAAGCAGAACUAAAACUGAUUGAAGAGGAGACAGCAAAGCGGGUAGAAGA